Molecule: non-coding RNA, 29 nt
Filed under: Mus musculus (house mouse)
Lineage: Eukaryota; Metazoa; Chordata; Mammalia; Rodentia; Muridae
Source: RNAcentral
UGUAGCCAAAAUGCUUCUAUUAUAGUCAG